This 383-nucleotide ribosomal RNA is filed under the name uncultured Sulfurospirillum sp. RNAcentral's name for it is "bacterial SSU rRNA". It matches the Rfam family "Bacterial small subunit ribosomal RNA", at positions 724 to 1100 of the family's 1533-position model. The record is from RNAcentral. Lineage: Bacteria; Pseudomonadati; Campylobacterota; Epsilonproteobacteria; Campylobacterales; Sulfurospirillaceae.
AUCUACUGGAACAUUAUUGACGCUAAGGCAUGAAAGCGUGGGGAGCAAACAGGAUUAAAUACCCUGGUAGUCCACGCCCUAACACCGAUGCACAUUAGUUGUUGCGAUGCUAGUCAUUGCAGUAAUGCACUUAACAGAUUAAGUGUGCCGCCUGGGGAGUACGGUCGCAAGAUUAAAACUCAAAGGAAUAGACGGGGACCCGCACAAGCGGUGGAGCAUGUGGUUUAAUUCGAAGAUACACGAAGAACCUUACCUGUGCUUGAUAUCCUAAGAAUCCUGUAGAGAUAUGGGAGUGCUAGUUUACUAGAACUUAGAGACAGGUGCUGCACGGCUGUCGUCAGCUCGUGUCGUGAGAUGUUGGGUUAAGUCCCGCAACGAGCGCA